ACGCUAUCACUCCUACGGGAGGCAGCAGUGAGGAAUAUUGGUCAAUGGAGGGAACUCUGAACCAGCCAUCCCGCGUGUAGGAAGACGGCCUUAUGGGUUGUAAACUACUUUUAUACAGGAAGAAACACUCCUUCGUGAAGGAGCUUGACGGUACCGUAAGAAUAAGGAUCGGCUAACUCCGUGCCAGCAGCCGCGGUAAUACGGAGGAUCCAAGCGUUAUCCGGAAUCAUUGGGUUUAAAGGGUCCGUAGGCGGUUUUAUAAGUCAGUGGUGAAAUCCGGCAGCUCAACUGUCGAACUGCCAUUGAUACUGUAGAACUUGAAUUAUUGUGAAGUAACUAGAAUAUGUAGUGUAGCGGUGAAAUGCUUAGAGAUUACAUGGAAUACCAAUUGCGAAGGCAGGUUACUAACAAUAUAUUGACGCUGAUGGACGAAAGCGUGGGUAGCGAACAGGAUUAGAUACCCUGGUAG
This 469-nucleotide ribosomal RNA is filed under the name uncultured bacterium. Its description in RNAcentral is "bacterial SSU rRNA". It matches the Rfam family "Bacterial small subunit ribosomal RNA", at positions 326 to 793 of the family's 1533-position model. The record is from RNAcentral.